UUCCCACCUCGGUCUCCUCCUC
This 22-nucleotide microRNA is filed under the name Human alphaherpesvirus 2. Its description in RNAcentral is "hsv2-miR-H9-3p". Its record names the gene hsv2-miR-H9-3p. Lineage: Duplodnaviria; Heunggongvirae; Peploviricota; Herviviricetes; Herpesvirales; Orthoherpesviridae. The record is from miRBase by way of RNAcentral.